UAUCAAACAGUAUUUGGCUCAGAGUGGGU
RNAcentral lists this non-coding RNA (29 nucleotides) under Mus musculus (house mouse). The record is from RNAcentral. Lineage: Eukaryota; Metazoa; Chordata; Mammalia; Rodentia; Muridae.